GAUGAACGCUGGCGGCGUGCCUAAUACAUGCAAGUCGAGCGAACAGACGAGGAGCUUGCUCCUCUGACGUUAGCGGCGGACGGGUGAGUAACACGUGGAUAACCUACCUAUAAGACUGGGAUAACUUCGGGAAACCGGAGCUAAUACCGGAUAAUAUAUUGAACCGCAUGGUUCAAUAGUGAAAGACGGUUUUGCUGUCACUUAUAGAUGGAUCCGCGCCGCAUUAGCUAGUUGGUAAGGUAACGGCUUACCAAGGCAACGAUGCGUAGCCGACCUGAGAGGGGGACCAGCAAAACUGGCACUGAGACACGGUAGAGACUCCUACGGGAGGCAGCAGUGGGGAAUUUUGGGCAAUGGGCGAAAGCCUGAUGGAGCAAUGCCGCGUGAGGGAAGAAGUGCUUCGAAUUAUAAACUUCUUUUAUUAGGAAAGAAAAAGAGCGUAUGAAAAUACGGAGCGAGUGAAGGUACCUAAAGAACAAGCCAGGGCAAACUACGUG
Molecule: ribosomal RNA, 497 nt
Filed under: uncultured bacterium
Lineage: Bacteria
Description: partial 16S ribosomal RNA
Rfam family: Bacterial small subunit ribosomal RNA
Source: RNAcentral